UACGUAGGGAGCAAGCGUUGUCCGGAAUCAUUGGGCGUAAAGCGCGCGUAGGUGGCCAUGUAAGUCCGUUGUGAAAGUCAAAGGCUCAACCUUUGAAAGCCGAUGGAUACUGCAUGGCUAGAGUACGGAAGAGGCGAGUGGAAUUCCUGGUGUAGCGGUGGAAUGCGCAGAUAUCAGGAGGAACACCAAUAGCGAAGGCAGCUCGCUGGGACGUUACUGACACUGAGGCGCGGAAGCGUGGGGAGCGAACAGG
This 253-nucleotide ribosomal RNA is filed under the name uncultured bacterium. Its description in RNAcentral is "partial 16S ribosomal RNA". It matches the Rfam family "Bacterial small subunit ribosomal RNA", at positions 524 to 776 of the family's 1533-position model. The record is from RNAcentral.